Molecule: ribosomal RNA, 376 nt
Filed under: uncultured bacterium
Lineage: Bacteria
Description: bacterial SSU rRNA
Rfam family: Bacterial small subunit ribosomal RNA
Source: RNAcentral
UACGUAGGGGGCGAGCGUUAUCCGGAAUUACUGGGCGUAAAGCGUGCGUAGGUGGUUGUUUAAGUCUGUCGUGAAAGCCCUGGGCUCAACCUGGGAAUUGCGAUGGAAACUGGGCGACUAGAGUGUGGCAGAGGGUAGUGGAUUUCCUGGUGUAGCAGUGAAAUGCGUAGAGAUCAGGAGGAACAUCCGUGGCGAAGGCGACUGCCUGGGCCGACACUGACACUGAGGCACGAAAGCGUGGGGAGCAAACAGGAUUAGAUACCCUGGUAGUCCACGCCCUAAACGAUGCGAACUGGAUGUUGGGUGCAAUUUGGCACGCAGUAUCGAAGCUAACGCGUUAAGUUCGCCGCCUGGGGAGUACGGUCGCAAGACUGAA